Molecule: unclassified non-coding RNA, 250 nt
Filed under: Glomus sp.
Lineage: Eukaryota; Fungi; Glomeromycota; Glomeromycetes; Glomerales; Glomeraceae
Description: partial contains 5.8S ribosomal RNA and internal transcribed spacer 2
Rfam family: 5.8S ribosomal RNA (bases 1-65)
Source: RNAcentral
GUGAAUCAUCAAAUUUUUGAACGCAAAUUGCACUCUCUUCGGAGAGUAUGCCUGUUUGAGGGUCAGCCUACAAAAAAAUCUACAUAGUCGCUGUUUCUCGGUGACAUUCAUCGGAAAUUGGGUCAUCUUAAACCUGUGGGUUUUAGGCGGCGUAAAAUUUUCUUUACGAUUCCACGAACGUUUCUAAGAUUUACUUCUUAUACGUUGAAGGUAUCGAUCUUUCUUAGAAUUGUCCGUUUCAUCGGUUCUC